GGUGUACUAAACUCUCGCUAUGCACAAGGACCAAAUAAUAUCGAGAGUUGUUUCUAUGAUUGGGGUUUGAACCAUGACAUUCUAGUCACAUAACUACAACUUUACUAUUGCGCCAAGACAACAUUGUCCUAAGCACAUUAUGACAAAAACGGAAAUAACUUCCUCCGGCAGAAGUUGAAAAAGGGCAGGCAACAUGGGAGAGAUCAUUAGCCCUCCAUUCUA
RNAcentral lists this unclassified non-coding RNA (222 nucleotides) under Hevea brasiliensis (rubber tree). The record is from RNAcentral. Lineage: Eukaryota; Viridiplantae; Streptophyta; Magnoliopsida; Malpighiales; Euphorbiaceae.